UGGGGAAUUUUCCGCAAUGGGUGAAAGCCUGACGGAGCAACGCCGCGUGAGGGAUGAAGGCCUCUGGGCUGUAAACUUCUUUUCUCAAGGAAGAAGAUCUGACGGUACUUGAGGAAUAAGCCACGGCUAAUUCCGUGCCAGCAGCCGCGGUAAUACGGGAGUGGCAAGCGUCAUCCGGAAUUAUUGGGCGUAAAGCGUCCGCAGGCGGCUUAUCAAGUCUGCUGUUAAAGCGUGGAGCUUAACUCCAUCAUGGCAGUGGAAACUGAUAGGCUUGAGUAUGGUAGGGGCAGAGGGAAUUCCCGGUGUAGCGGUGAAAUGCGUAGAUAUCGGGAAGAACACCAGUGGCGAAGGCGCUCUGCUGGGCCAUUACUGACGCUCAUGGACGAAAGCCAGGGGAGCGAAAGGGAUUAGAUACCCCUGUAGUCA
Molecule: ribosomal RNA, 426 nt
Filed under: uncultured cyanobacterium
Lineage: Bacteria; Bacillati; Cyanobacteriota
Description: bacterial SSU rRNA
Rfam family: Bacterial small subunit ribosomal RNA
Source: RNAcentral